UGUUUUUAAGCGUAUGCACUGACUGAUGGCACCUUUUGAAUUUCGUUGUCCUUGUGACAAUGACAAUAAAGAUUUAUCUCAUCUCAUUAUUUCAAAAAUCUCGCGAGAUGUUUUCAAGCCCAACCAACUCUAGAAGAUUCUUCAGACAGUUGACGACGUUAAAAAAAGAAGAAAAAAGCGGAUCGUUUUUUUGCUUUCUUUCUCUUUUUCAUGGAUAAAAUGGACUUGAAGAGUUUGGCUUUUUUCCCGAACAAAAGUUUGUUGGAGGCCAGUGGUCCAGUGAAGCUCAGAGGGGGAAUGAAUGGGGCAACAGAUCAGGACCCAGAGACCUGAUCACCUUCAGCACUGGAGAAGGAAAACUCCUCACCUGAGCAUCACCACCCACAGCACCUGCACCUGUGGUUACUGGCACAUAUAAGAAGACCCCUAUGCAAGCCACCAAUGCCAACGUGUGUGUGUGUGUGUGUGUGUUCUAACCACCCUUAAAGACAUUAAGGAGACUCAGAGGGCUCACAGUCGAAUGCUACAGUCUCUCCUGAAACAACGUGAAGGACCAGUCAGGUUUUACCUGAGGUUCUGUUUUCCCUCUCUGGACCGGCACUGAUGAUAUUAAACCUGUUUCUGGUUUCCACACGUUUAUUAUCUGGACCUAAUUUUGGGUAAACCUGUAUGGUGUCAUGCUCAGGUGUUAAAAGUUGUUUCUGGUUCUCAACAGUUUCAAACAGAAGUAAAUAAAUUGUUGUUUUGUGUACAUA
Molecule: long non-coding RNA, 755 nt
Organism: Xiphophorus couchianus (Monterrey platyfish)
Lineage: Eukaryota; Metazoa; Chordata; Actinopteri; Cyprinodontiformes; Poeciliidae
Exons: 2
Source: RefSeq, a predicted model, not a curated record